This 452-nucleotide ribosomal RNA is filed under the name uncultured organism. RNAcentral describes it as "partial 16S ribosomal RNA". It matches the Rfam family "Bacterial small subunit ribosomal RNA", at positions 331 to 799 of the family's 1533-position model. The record is from RNAcentral.
GUACACUCCUGCGGGAGGCAGCAGUGGGGAAUCUUGCGCAAUGGGCGAAAGCCUGACGCAGCCAUGCCGCGUGAAUGAUGAAGGUCUUAGGAUUGUAAAAUUCUUUCACCGGGGACGAUAAUGACGGUACCCGGAGAAGAAGCCCCGGCUAACUUCGUGCCAGCAGCCGCGGUAAUACGAAGGGGGCUAGCGUUGCUCGGAAUUACUGGGCGUAAAGGGAGCGUAGGCGUACAUUUAAGUCAGGGGUGAAAUCCCGGGGCUCAACCUCGGAAUUGCCUUUGAUACUGGGUGUCUUGAGUAUGAGAGAGGUGUGUGGAACUCCGAGUGUAGAGGUGAAAUUCGUAGAUAUUCGGAAGAACACCAGUGGCGAAGGCGACACACUGGCUCAUUACUGACGCUGAGGCUCGAAAGCGUGGGGAGCAAACAGGAUUAGAAACCCCGGUAGUCCCAUG